GGGCUGCAGUAUUUUGACUGUACAAAGGUAGCAUAAUCAUUAGUCAUUUAAUUGAUGACUUGUAUGAAGGAUUGGAUGAAAUAUAAACUGUCUCUUAAUUAAAAUAGAAUUUAAUUUUUUAAUUAAAAAGUUAAAAUAAAUUAGAAAGACGAGAAGACCCUAUAGAGUUUUAUAAUUGAAUUAAUUGAUAUUGUUUAUAAAUUUAAUUAUUAAAAUUAAUUAAAUUAUUUUGUUGGGGUGACAGAAAAAUAUAAAAAACUUUUUUUAAACAAAAACAUAUAUAAGUGAUUAUUUGAUCCAGUAUUAUUGAUUAUAAGAAAAAAUUACCUUAGGGAUAACAGCGUAAUUUUUUUUUUUAGUUCAAAUAAAAAAAAGAGUUUGCGACCUCGAUGUUGGAUUAAGAUAAAAUUUAAAUG
Molecule: ribosomal RNA, 416 nt
Filed under: Neogalea sunia
Lineage: Eukaryota; Metazoa; Arthropoda; Insecta; Lepidoptera; Noctuidae
Description: partial 16S ribosomal RNA
Source: RNAcentral